RNAcentral lists this long non-coding RNA (6230 nucleotides) under Capsicum annuum. Its description in RNAcentral is "long non-coding RNA (CANN_LNC006179)". Lineage: Eukaryota; Viridiplantae; Streptophyta; Magnoliopsida; Solanales; Solanaceae. The record is from RNAcentral.
UUUUAUAAUAGUGCACCAUAUGAUAAUUUGCAAAUGAAAAAUAGAGUAGUGCACUCUAUAAAAUAAAAUAAAAUAGAUAGUGCACAAAAAUAGUGGACUAUAUAAAAUAUAAUUAAUAGUGUGUUAUGUGGAAAAAUAGAUAGUGCACAAAAAAUGUGCACUAUUUACUUUUAACGGCGUCACACUAAUUCGUUAAAAAAAACACAGAGCACAGAAAAAGUUGCAUUCUACUUUCAGACAUAGUUAUGUUAUUUUUUUAAAUUAGGGGCAUAUUUUAGUUCUGCACUCCAUCUGUUUUUAUGGAUAGGGCAUAGAUUAUAGUUAGUACUUUUGGAUUCUCUUUAGUUCUUUUAUAGUUUAGAAGCUGCAUGCUGAAUAACAAAUAAAUUUAAGCACUCACUUUAAUAACAGUGGAUGAACAUUUGUUCUUAAUUUGGUUUUAGCUCCAACAAUUGUGUAUUAUUUAUCUCGCAAUAUCAGUUUUAAGUGUGUUGUUCAGUAUCUAGUUGAGUUCAUAACACUUGGAAACAAUAAGAGUUAUCGCAAUGAAAACAAAUUACAAGUAUACUUGUAGCUUAUGCUAUGCCUAUUGUUGAGUAUUAUAGCAAAUGAAGAAAAUUAUGGCCGUUAACUAACUAAUGUUGAUAUGCAUCUACCUGCAUUACUUUUGAAUUGCAUCUAGGAACUUUGGAUCUUGUUCCAUCCAAGUUAUGCAAUUAAUUGACAAUAGUAGCAGUCAUGAUAAUCAUGAUGUUUGUUUAAUAACUUACCAAGGUCAAUAAUAGUUUUACAUGGCUCAUCCAGACUUAAGGCAGGUGUCUACCACAUUCAUUGUUGUGCUGACCGUUGAAUGUCUGGUAUAAUAAAGAUGGUUCUUCGUUGCCUGGUAGUUCAGUUGGUAACUAAUUGAGCUACAUCAGAACCGCAUAUUUUAUCUGUGACUUUGCUCUCUGUCUAGACUGUGUUCCACUUUUUUUAAGGUUUGGGAUUUGAGAUAAAUACAUUACUAUAUUUUCAUGACAAGUGCAUGGUUAUAUUUUUAAAAUUUCUCUUCAAGACAAUUACAGACCAUUUUUUACUGCGAAAAUUACCAUAAGUAUCCCAACACAUUAUCAAAUAACUUAUGUCCAUUGCUAGGUGUUGCCAUGGUAAUCAGGACAUUUGUUUUGAUAACUUCCCUAUGUCAAUCGUAGCCAUUUACAUGGCUUUCCCAGGCUUAGGCAGGUGUCUACCAGUCAUUUGUUGUGCUGAACGUUGAAUGUCUGGACUAGUGAACAGUGGAUCUUCAUUGUGAGGUAGUUCAUUUGAUUGCUAUUUCAGUUACAUCGGAACCUCAUAUUUUAAAUUGAGACCUUUCCUUGUUUAGAUAUUCUUUUCUCCCCUUUUGUUAAGGCUUGCGACAAAUAUGCGACAUAUUUUCAAGAUAAACACGGGACUUCAAAUCGUAGAUUAGUUCAUUUUAUUGCUUGGAACUCAUCAUAAGUUUCUUUCCAAAAGUAAAUGAUGGGUAGUUCAGUUAUUUCUCCAUUUGAGGCAUUCCAGGUUGCUAUGGUAAUCGACUAAUUGGGAUAUGUGUUUUGAUAGCUUACCAAGGUCAUUACUAGCUAUUUACGUUGCUUACCCUGACUUAAGGCUGGUGUCUAACACUGUCAUUGUUGUGCUGACCGUUGAAUGUCUGUAAUACUUGUAAAUAGUCGUUCUUUAUCGCCCGUUAAUUCAGUUGGUCACAAUAUGAGCUAACAUCAGAACCUCAUAUUUUUUUCUGUGACCUUGUUCUCUAUUUAGAUACUUUUUUCUCCCCUUCCUUUGAGACAAAUACGGGACUAUAUUUUAUUGCUUGAAACUCACCAUAAGUUUCUUACUGAUAGACGGUGAUGGGUGUAUUGCCAUGCUUCUUGUAAAAUGCAUUUCAGUAAUGAUUAAUAUCCAUUGCCAGGUUGAUUCCUUGCUACAUUGUAUCACUGUUAUGGAUAAGUGAGAUUGAUCUUGUCUUAAUAAAUGAAUUUGCUGGCUAAGAUGAUCUGUUUGACAAUCUUAUAGUCGGCUUAGUGAAUUCACUUUAUCCGCGUGGAUCUCUAUGAACUUUUGUUUGCCGGGAACAUGUUCAUCUGAAAUGAUGUUGUGGACGAUUAUUUCUUUGCCAGAAGUGAUUGUUCCUCACAUUUCAGUUCAUCAUUGUUGCAGACUUGUUAAAAAGUCAUUGAUGCUGUUGGAGUGCUGAUGUUUCCGUUUUUUCAUAUUCUUUAAGAUAGAAAUGACCCAUCUAUGUUGAAUUGUUGUUAAGCUUUUCGAUUAUACGGUGCAAUUGUGCAUUUCAUAUCACAAGGUUAAGUACUGUUUGACCAUACUAAAUACUUAUUUGUUGGAGCUAUGUACUGUUUGUGGUAUUUCAAAUAAUUGCUGAAUAGUAACGUGUUAUAUGCCUUGUCCAGUGGGAACUUUGCCCUUAUGACUAGCAGAUCAUUGGUCAUAUUCAGUGCAAGUCCAAGAAAUAGUUAAAUGACUUGGAUUUGAUGCAGUUUUCUCCGGGGUCAAGUGUAGAAAUGCCCUGAAAAUUUCCAAUUUCUUUGUUUGGAAAUAGGAUAUUUGGCAUGGUGCAAACUUCCUACAAUGAAGUUGUUCAUGUCUGAUAGGGAAAGACAUAUAGAGAGAGAUGAAGAUGAAAGUGACAAUAGUACAUUAUGGUAAAAUGAGUAACAAAAAAUAGUAUAGACCACUAACAAAAGGUUAAGGCUGACGACUUUAGAAUGGCAGGAGCUGAACAAGAAAUGUACAUUGGUAUAAUUUACUUUCAGAAGUUAGCUUGCAAAGUGAACACUGUUUCAAGAUGUGGGAUAAAAAACUUCACUAUACAAAUGGGUUUGGAGAGGACCUUUCCCCUACCUUGAGAAGGUAGACAUAGACCGACUAGUUUCAUAGACCAUUGGUUCAAGUACAAUUGUGUAUUGUUUAUCACGCAGUAUCAGUCUUUUAAGUGUGCUGUUCAAUAUCUAGUUGAGUUCAUAACACUAGAGAAACAAGUAGUUUAAGAGCUGUCACAAUGAAAACAAAUUACAAGCAUACUUGUAGCUUAUGCUAUGCCUAUUGUUAAGUAUUAUAGCAAUGAAGAAAAUUAUGGUGGUUACUUGCCUGUGUAUUUGUUCCCUUUCCAUCCAUUUAAGGAAAAACUAUUGUGUAGUUCUGAAUUAGGUUGUUUGAGUGAGUCGAUAGUCCAUUCAUCUGGUAAAGUUAACAUUUAAUGUCAUAAUUCUUUUGUGAUUGUGGCUUCGAAAAAUAAUUCUUUUGUGAUGUAUAUGUUACAAUAAGAUGGUAACUGGACUAGGUCUUGUAUGAUAAUCUGCUGGCCAUUAGAUCACAAAACUGCAUUUGUUUGAAUCCUAGCAACCUAAUUUGGUUUACUCUCUUCUGAACUGGUGUGGUAGUUUUGGGGCUAGCUAAUGUCAAUUUGCAUCUACUUGCAUUACUUUUGAAUUGCAUCUCAGGACUUUGGUUCUUGUUCCAUCCAAGUUGUGCAAUUAAUUUACAAUAGUAGCAGUCAUGAUAAUCAAGACCUUUGUUUAAUAGCUUGCCAAGGUCGAUAAUUGUUUUACAUGGCUCAUCCAGACUUAAGGCAGGUGUCUACCACAUCCAUUGUUGUGCUGACCGUUGAAUGUCUGGAAUAAUAAAGAUGGUUCUUCGUUGCCCGGUAGUUCAUUUGGUAACUAUUUGAGCUACAUCAGAACCUCACAUUUUUAUCUGUGACCUUGCUCUCUGUCUAGACUAUUUCCCACUUUUUUAUGAGAUAUAAAAUACACUACUAUGUUUUCAUGAAACAACUAUGUUUUACUGUGAAAAUCACCAUUAGUGUCUUACUGGAACGCCAUGACAUGCUUGUUGCUGCACUUUUAGUAUGGGUUUAUAUCCCAACACAUUAUCAGUUGAUUUAUGUUCAUUGCUAGGUUUUGCCAUGGUAAUCAGGACAUUUGUGUUGAUAGCUUUCCGAUGUCAAUAAUAGGUAGUUACAUGGCUUUCCCAGGCUUAAGGCAGGUGUCUGCCAUAGUCAUUUGUUGUGCUGAACGUUGAAUGUGUGGACUAGAAAAGAGUGGUUCUUUGUUGCCCGGUAGUUCAUUUGAUUGCUACUCCAGCUAUAUCAGAACCUCAUAUUUUAACUUGAGACCUUUGUUUGUUUGGAUAUUCUUUUCUCCCUUUUUGUUAAGGCUCGCGACAAAUAUACGAUUUAUUUUCAAGAUAACCCAGGACUUUCAAUCGUAGAUUAGUUCAUUUUAUUGCUUGGAACUCGCCAUAAGUUUCUUUCCAGGUUCCUAUGGUAAUCGACUAAUCGAGAUAAUUGUUUUGAUAGCUUACCAAGGUCGGCACAAUAGCUAUUUACAUUGCUUAUCGAGACUUAAGGCAGGUUUUUAACAGUCAUUGUUGUGCUGACUGAUGAAUGUCUGUAAUACUAGUAAAUAGUCGUUCUUUGUUGCCCGAUAGUUAAGUUGGUCACAAUAUGAGCUACUUUGUAUUUUAUUGCUUGAAACUCACCAUAAUUUUCUUACUGAAAGAUACUUUUUGUAAAAUACACAGUUCAGUAAUAAUUAAUAUCAAUUGCCAGGUUGAUUCCUUGCUACUUUGUAUCACUGUUAUGGAUAAGUUAGACUGAUCUUGUCGUAAUAAAUGACUCUGCUGGUUAAGAUAAUCUGUUAACAAUCAUAUAAUUGGCUUAGUGAAUUCACUUUAUCUGUGUUAAUCUCUAUGAACUUUUGUUUGCUGGGAACAUUUUCAUCUGAAAUGAUGUUGUGGACGAUUACUUCUUUGCUAGAAACAAUUGUUCCUCGUGUUUCAGUUCAUCAUUGUUGCAGACUUUCAGAAACUCAUUGAUGCUGCUGGAGUGCCGGUGUUUCCCUUUUUUCAUAUUUUUAAGAUAAGAUAGAAAUGCCCCAUCAAUGUUGAAUUGUUGCAAGGCCUUUUGAUUAUAUGGUGCAAUUGUGCUUUUCAUAUCACAAGGCUUAAGUACUGUUUGACCAUAUACUAGAUACUUAUUUGUUGAAGCAAUGUACUGUUUGUGGUAUUCCAAAUAAUUGUUGAAUAAUAAUGUGUUUUAUUCCUUGUCCAGUGGGAACUUUGUCCUUAUGACUAGCAGAACAUAGGUCAUAUUCAGUGCAAGUCCAAGAAAUAAUUAAAUGACUUGGAUUUGAUGCACGGUUUUCUCCCAGUCAAGUGUAGAAAUGCCCUGAAAAUUACCAAUUUCUUUGUUUGGAAAUAGGAUAUUUGGUUUGGUGCAAAAUUCCUACAAUAAAGUUGUUCAUGUCUGAAAGGGAAAGACAAUAGUAGUGAUGCAGAUGACAAAGACAAUAGUACAUUAUGGUAAAAUGAGUAACAAAAAAUAGUAUAGACCACUAACAAAGGGUUAAGGCUGACAACUUUAGGAUGGCAGGAGCUGAUCAAGAAAUGUACAUUGGUAUAAUCUACUUUCAGAAGUUAGCUUACAGAGUGAACACUGUUUCUCACUAUACAAUUGGGUUCGGAGGGGACCUUUUUCCUACCUUGAGAAGGGAGACAUAGACAGACUAGUUUCAUAGACUAUUGGUUCAAGUACAAAAAUCAAUUAUGUAAAGCAAUCAAUGGAGAAGAAUCUAAUGGACAGCUCGGUGUACUAAAGCUCUCGCUAUAUGCCGGAUUCGGGGAAGGGUUUCAUUACAAGAGUGUAUUGUAUGUAAACUUCUGGUGAAGGAUGGAAUAGUUCCACCACUACACCACAACUCAUGUUAAGAGAAAAUAUUGAACAUAAUGGAUGCGAGAAAAUCGCAACAACAAAUAAUAUGAUGAUGGUAACUAAUCCUCGACCACUAGAUCUUACAUCUCGGGCUAUGUCGUGGUGAUUUUUGGAGCGUAACCAAACCAAGAAAUUCAUAUGAAUGUGAGUUCUGAUACGAUGUUAAAAGAAAAGGAUCUCGAGCUAAUUCAAAUCUAAAAGCUAGUAAAAAUUGUCUAAAGACUAAUAGAACCCUUUGAAAUAUCUGAGAAUAAUAGAACUUGACCUAAAUAUCUACACAUUCUAGAAUGCCAAUCUUUUUGGAAACAUUUCUUUGGCUAUCAUCAAAAAGGCAUGAAACUUCAAAUGCACUAAUAAUAAUAAUAAUUUAUGGAGGCAACUUACUCCAAAUUCAAUUUUGGUAGCCGUACCAUGGUCCACCAAGUACCAAAAGCAAAUAAAAAAGAAAGCUCAAACGUAAAGAAAAAUUAUAUUUAAC